This 930-nucleotide ribosomal RNA is filed under the name Chattonella subsalsa. Its description in RNAcentral is "partial large subunit ribosomal RNA". It matches the Rfam family "Eukaryotic large subunit ribosomal RNA", at positions 47 to 882 of the family's 3401-position model. The record is from RNAcentral. Lineage: Eukaryota; Raphidophyceae; Chattonellales; Chattonellaceae.
UAAGCGGAGGAAAAGAAACCAACUCGGAUUCCCCUAGUAACGGCGAGUGAAGCGGGAAGAGCUCAUGUUGUAAAUCUGGAUGAGGGUUCCUCGUCCCGAAUUGUAGUCUAGAGAUGCGUGCUCAGCUACUCUCCAGGGCUAAGUCUGUUUGUGAAAGACAGUGUCAUGGACGGUGAUAACCCGGUUCUUGCCUUGGAUGUUGUAGCGUUUUGAGCCGUCCUCAACGAGUCGAGUUGCUUGGGAUUGCAGCUCUAAGUGGGUGGUAAAUUCCAUCUAAAGCUAAAUAUUGGUGGGAGACCGAUAGCGAACAAGUACCGUGAGGGAAAGAUGAAAAGAACUUUGAAAAGAGAGUUAAAUAGUACCUGAAACUGCUGAAAGGGAAGCGAAUGAAGUCAGUGUUGCUCUUUGUGCUCUGCAUCCUCCCUGCGGGGAUUGUGUAUCGAGGACUUUGAGCUUGUCAGGAUGAGUUCUCUGCCGCGGGAUAUGUUUUGUAUGCUGGAUGCUUUUUGCGGAACAUACAUUCUCUGUCGUGGCUUGGACUGAGGUUCCAUCUUGCCGUUGCCUGUGCGUUCCUCUCCCGUUGCUGUCUCUGUUCUACUGCUUGCAGUGCUCAGUUGCAGUAGUUGGACUGUGCGUAUUAUGCAUGCAAGGUCAGGAUCCUGACGAAAUGGCUUUAUUUACCCCGUCUUGAAACACGGACCAAGGAGUCUAACAUACGUGCGAGUACUUUGGUGACAAACCAAUGUGCGCAAUGAAAGUAAAGGCUGGCUUCCGUCAGCUCAGGUGGGAUCCGUUUGGAGCACCAUCGACCGACCAUUAUGCCUUCGGGCUAAAGGUUUGAGUGUGAGCAUUUAUGUUGGGACCCGAAAGAUGGUGAACUAUGCCUGAAUAGGGCGAAGCCAGGGGAAACUCUGGUGGAGGCUCGUAGCG